UACGGAGGGGGCGAGCGUUAUUCGGAAUUAUUGGGCGUAAAGGGCGCGUAGGCGGCCCGGUAAGUCAAAGGUGAAAUCCCUCGGCUCAACUGAGGAACUGCCUUUGAAACUGUCGGGCUUGAGGCCGGGAGGGGGUAGCGGAAUUCCCAGUGUAGCGGUGAAAUGCGUAGAUAUUGGGAGGAACACCAGUGGCGAAGGCGGCUACCUGGACCGGUUCUGACGCUGAUGCGCGAAAGCGUGGGUAGCAAACGGG
RNAcentral lists this ribosomal RNA (253 nucleotides) under uncultured bacterium. RNAcentral describes it as "partial 16S ribosomal RNA". It matches the Rfam family "Bacterial small subunit ribosomal RNA", at positions 524 to 776 of the family's 1533-position model. The record is from RNAcentral.